CAGAGAGUAGUUUAAAGAAAAAUGUUAAUUUUGGGGAUUAGUGAUGAAGGUGACUUUCUCUCUGA
RNAcentral lists this transfer RNA (65 nucleotides) under Gryllotalpa henana. RNAcentral describes it as "tRNA-Pro". Lineage: Eukaryota; Metazoa; Arthropoda; Insecta; Orthoptera; Gryllotalpidae. The record is from RNAcentral.